This is a long non-coding RNA of Astatotilapia calliptera (eastern happy), 554 nucleotides long. The record is from Ensembl. NCBI's taxonomy places the organism in Eukaryota, Metazoa, Chordata, Actinopteri, Cichliformes, Cichlidae.
CGUGGAUUGAACCUGACGUCAUAGUACGGAUGGUGAAGAAGACGCAGCCUUUUGUGUCGUGGACUCAUUGAUUUAGUGAUCUGUUCCACACGCUGUGCUCAUGCCUCCUUUGUGAAGGUGUCUGGUAGGGCAACAAAGUGAACUCCUUCACAUGGGGGCAUAUUCAGCAAACGGCUAGAGCGAUGGACGUGUUAAAGAGCAGCUGCAGUUGAUGUUCAGCUGAUGGGCAUCUCUGAUAUGCAUCCAUACGUGUGACCUGCUGAAGCGUGUCUGUGUGCUGGGUCAUGUGACCGUGGAAGUGUGCAUGGAGCGUGCCAGCUUUGAAUAUGCGUGAGGCAGGCUAAGUGCUACAGGUGUGUGCGUCAAAUGCACAAACCGGCCGGACAACUUGCUGAUUCAGCCCUGCGGUGCUAAAGAUGUCUGUUUGUGUGUGUGCGUGCAAGACACUGAGCCUACUUAGCACGGCUAAGCUGGGCGGGCAGAGAGCGGAGUAGAGGACAGACAGCAAAGCACAAUAAUAAGGUCACAAAGCGCAGCCUCCAUGCUCGGCUCCC